AAAAAAAACAAUUCGCCCCGUACAAUCACACCUCCAUCAAUCUCCCUUGCCUAGGGUUCCCUGCCACCACUGCCGAAGCCGCCGCCGAACCCCAGGUCAACGCACGCAGCCGCCGCUGCUGCUCCGUCUUCUAUCUCCUAUCUCUCUCUGAAUGGUGGCGAUGGUGGUCGCAAUGGGGAAAUGGAAGGUGGCGGAUGAGCGAAGGCCAUGGCCGCGAAGCAGGUUAGGCACCGCCGUAUGGACAGGAACGCGGGCGCUCGGAGGUACCUAGGAAAUCGGGAGGGGCUGAGCAGGACGGCCAAGGGCGUCGCCAAGGUCUUCGGCGUCCAGUUGUCCACGCCUUGAGAUGGUAAUCAUCUUAACUAUGAGCAAGUAGGUCGGAACUAUGAGCAAUUAGGUCACGUUUACGAUCUCAAGGAUCCAGUGAUGUUGAAUCUAAUAGUUGGACUUCACUGCCUUCUCAAUUUAUAUAGGUGAGCACUGUUGCUUGCUGACUCACACAGCAGGAAUUAGGCGGGUUGUGGCGAACGAGGAACCAAGAGGGGAAACUGUAGCUAUACAACUGCGGAAUUGAUCAAUACGAGCAUGCUUUGUCUAGCCAGGGAGAGCGCCGAGGGUGCUGGUCCGCGGCACCAGAAGAGUUGAACUCUCAACGAGAUACUAAUCAAUGGUGAAGUAUUUAGAUCAGUUCUACAACCAACUCAUGUUGCUUAUAACUGUAGCUUUUGUUCAAACCCCAGUUGUAGGUAAGCUACAUUGCCAAGUGCAAAUCCUUAUCUUACUACAGUUUUCAACUUUUCAUUGACAUUUUCCGUUUUGGACUGUAUGUCCAUUUUGGGCCCCAUUUUCGACUGUAGCUUUUGUCCUGACCCCACUUGUACGCAAUGUAAUUUGCAGCCAUGAUGUUACACUGCCAAUAUUUUAGAAAACUGUAAUUUGCUUCCAUGAUGUUACACACUUGCAGGUCUAUGGUAGUGUCACGAAUUUGGGGAUACAUCUCCUCGCACUCAGGUGGAAGAAAUUCCGAUCCUCGCCCUCAAGUCCAACUAAUUCAGGACCUGCAUCUCUGAUAUACCGUGGUUGGUUCCUUCCUUGAUGCCUUCUCUCUUCACAAUCGAUGAAAUACACAACUAGCUUCCACAUAUUUAAGGAGCAGGUACAGUUUCAUUGUGUAAAAAAUAGUAGCAGGUGAGUUUUUAUUCAAAGAAGUCUCCACCAGUCGACCUACAUAUAUAUACAUGCCUAAAUGAUCUCUUUGUUUGUAAACACUUUAAUAUUUUGGUACUUUCCAUAGGUGGGUAUUUUAGCAGUUCAGCUAUCUGAAAGAGAAAAUGAGUUGCUUCAGCAGAAAACCGAGGUCAUGACAUUAGCCGCUUCACUGAAACUGAGAAAGGAACAGUUUUCUUCUAUUGUGACAUGACAGGAAGCAAGGUCAUGUGUGAGACGGAGGAGGCAACUGAUUUGGCUCUUCAUCACGUUGGGACUGUUGCAGCCAUGUGUGAUGUGUCAAUUUCUAUGAUGGGACAGAGGGUAGAAUCAGGACGAUAUGACUAAGAAAUAGCGAAUAAGUGACUACUAGGGUGUCCGUACUAGCAACAUAAGUUACAUAAAUUUACUGAUCUUGAACUAAUUUGCACAUUCUUUAUUUGUCCGUCAUUUAGUUUUGCUUCCAUCCGAAAAACAUUAUAAAUCAGUAAUAAAGACAUGUACAGAUGAAAAACUAUGUAAAUAUUGGACAACUAUUUAUUGACAAUUAUUUGAUGACAA
Triticum aestivum (bread wheat) is the source of this 1767-nucleotide long non-coding RNA. RefSeq lists it as uncharacterized. Lineage: Eukaryota; Viridiplantae; Streptophyta; Magnoliopsida; Poales; Poaceae. The record is from RefSeq and is a predicted model, not a curated record. The transcript has 5 exons.